AUACAACUUUCAGCAACGGAUCUCUUGGCUCUCGCAUCGAUGAAGAACGCAGC
RNAcentral lists this ribosomal RNA (53 nucleotides) under Agaricus bisporus (cultivated mushroom). Its description in RNAcentral is "partial 5.8S ribosomal RNA". It matches the Rfam family "5.8S ribosomal RNA", at positions 1 to 49 of the family's 154-position model. From Rfam's summary of the family: 5.8S ribosomal RNA (5.8S rRNA) is a component of the large subunit of the eukaryotic ribosome. It is transcribed by RNA polymerase I as part of the 45S precursor that also contains 18S and 28S rRNA. The record is from RNAcentral. RNAcentral also lists the same sequence under 14 other names. Lineage: Eukaryota; Fungi; Basidiomycota; Agaricomycetes; Agaricales; Agaricaceae.